GUGAUCUUCCCACUUCAGCCUCCUGAGUAGCUGGGACCACAGCUACCCUUAGCCUUCCACCAUGAGUGGAAGCAGCCUGAUGCACUCAGCAGCAGGACCAGAUGCUGGUGCCGUACUUCUUAUACAGCUUGCAGAACUGUGACCCAAAUAAACUUCUUUUCCUUAUAAAUUACUCAGGCUCCGAUAUUUCUUUAUAGCAGCAUAAAUGGACUAAGACAGUAAGGGUGCAAUUUUCAGUGUUAUACUGGAGUUUCUAGUCAAACAAUACAAAAAAACAAGUUUUAAAUAUUUGAAAAAAGUAGCUAGAACAAUUAUUAUGUGAAGAUAUUCUCUCUCUACAAAAUCAACUGACAAACUACUAGUUAAGCAGUUUACAAAGUUGAUGUUUAAAAAUCUGUUUUUUCUAAAAUUAGCACUUUGCAGAUCUGGAAAUGUAAUAGGAAAAAUCCUAUUCAUAAAAGCAACAAAAUGUAAAAUACGUGGGAAUAGACCUUAUUUUUUAAAUGUAAGACAUUUAUGAAGAAAACAAUAAAAUGUCACAGAAGGAUUUAAAGGAAAAUCUGAAUAUGGAAAUAAGUUAUGUUCCUGUAUGAAUCUAGCUAAACUGGCUAAGAUCCCAGUGGGAUUUUUUCAUGAGAGUUAAUUAAACAAACUGAAAUUCACACAGAAUAAUAAAUGCCUAGGAAUAACCAAGAUAAUUUUGAAAAAGAGCAAAAAAAAAGAGCAAUCUGGUCUUUCAGAUACCAAAACAUAAUCUAAAAGUCUAUCAGUUAAUAGUAUGGUAUUGGUAGAAAGAAUAAAGAAAUAAGCCCAUGUAUAAAAAGGAAUUUAAUACACAAUGAAAAUAACAAUGCAAAUGGAUUAAACAACACAAAUGAAUUUAAAUAACAAAUCGUAAGAAAAUUCAGAUACGACCUUAAAGCAGGCCUUCUUAAACUUAGCCAAAAGAAGUGAAAGCCAUAAAUAAAAGAUUAAUUUGAGUUUACCAAAACAAAAACUUCUAGACAAAAUACCGUAAAGUUAAAACACAAGCUAUGUGCUAGAUAAAAAAUAUUUCAUAUAUGUGCAAAACAAACUAUAGGCAAAGGGUUAAUAUUUUCGUUAUAUUAAAAAGAAGAAAAAACUACAAAGCGGUAAGAAGAAAGACAAUCCAGAAGAAAAAUGGGCAAGAGAUAAGAAGUGUUAGUUGACAGAAGAAGAAAUAUAGAUAAUGGAUAAAUUUAUAAAAAUGGGACUACCUUACUAUUAAUUAGCAAAAUAUAAAGUGAAAUAAAAGAAUAACACUUUUGAGAGGGGCGGCAGAGCAAGAUGGUGAAAUAGAAGCCUCCACUUGUCGUCCUCCCCACAGGAACACCAAAUUGAACAAAUGUCCACACAAAAAAGAACCUUCAUAAGAACCAAAAAUCAGGUGAAUGAUCACAGUACCUAGAUUUAUCUUCAUAUCACUUAAAGAGACACUGAAGAGGAUAGAAACGACAGUCUUGAAUUACUGACAUCACCCCUUCCCCAUCUGCUGGCAGUGGUUGCGUGGAACGGAGAGAGAAUCUGUGUGCUUGUGGGAGGGAGAGCACAGUGAUUGUGUGACUUUGCAUUGGAACUCAGUGCUGCCCUGUCACAGUGGAAAGCAACACUGGGCAGGACUCAGUAAGUUUCCACAGAGGGAGGAUUUAGACCAGCCUUAGCCAGAGGUGAAUUACCCAUUCCAGUGUUCUGAAUUUGAGUUCUGGAAAGCCUUGCCACCCAAGCUAAAGGGUCCUGGGGUCCUAAAUAAACUUGAAAAGCAGACUAGGCCACAAGGACUGCAAUUCUUGGGCAAGUCCUGGUGCUGUGCUGGUGUUGGAGCCAGUGGACUUGAGCAGCACAUAACCUUGUGAGACACCAGGGGCAGCCAGGGGAGUGCUUACGCCACCUCUCCCCCAACCUCAGGUGGAGCAGCUUGCAGCUCUGGGAGAGACUCCUUCUUUCUGCUUGAAGAGAGGAGA
Molecule: long non-coding RNA, 1982 nt
Filed under: Homo sapiens (human)
Lineage: Eukaryota; Metazoa; Chordata; Mammalia; Primates; Hominidae
Description: HSALNT0363757
Source: RNAcentral